This 392-nucleotide ribosomal RNA is filed under the name Polymerus cognatus. RNAcentral describes it as "eukaryotic LSU rRNA". It matches the Rfam family "Eukaryotic large subunit ribosomal RNA", at positions 763 to 1138 of the family's 3401-position model. Lineage: Eukaryota; Metazoa; Arthropoda; Insecta; Hemiptera; Miridae. The record is from RNAcentral.
GGGGGUUGUCCUCUCAUUGCGAGAGGAGGCGCACCCAGAGCGUACACGCUGAUACCCGAAAGAUGGUGAACUAUGCCUGGCGAGGACGAAGCCAGGGGAAACCCUGGUGGAGGUCCGCAGCGAUUCUGACGUGCAAAUCGAUCGUCGGAGCUGGGUUUAGGGGCGAAAGACCAAUCGAACCAUCUAGUAGCUGGUUCCCUCUGAAGUUUCCCUCAGGAUAGCUUGCGCUCAAUUGAUACGAGUCUCAUCCGGUAGAGCGAAUGAUUAGAGGCCUUGGGGUCGAAACGACCUCAACCUAUUCUCAAACUCCAAAUAGAUGAGAACCCCGGCUUUCUUGAACUUUUGUUUAUGAAGCCGGGGGCUUGGAUCAGAGUGCCAAGUGGGCCAAUUUU